CUAAAAAUUCUAGCCUUAUUAAUAUUAACAACAUUUCCAAUACAAAUUAAAAUAUUAUACUAAUUUAGUAAAGAAGAUUAAAAAAUUUACAAGAGCAAUAAACGUACCGCAAGGGAAAAAAUGAAAUAAUAAUGAAAUAACUUCUAAGCCCAAAAAAGUAGAGUUAUACCCUCGUACCUUUUGCAUCAUGGUUUAACCAGUCAAACCAGGCAAAAAGAUUUUCAGUCUGCAACCCCGAAUCUAAGUGAGCUACCCUAGGACAGUUUUAUGAACAAACCCGUCUCUGUUGCAAAAGAGUGGGAAGAUCUUAGAGUAGAGAUGAUAUACCUAACGAACUUAGCGAUAGCUGGUUACUCAGGAAAAGAAUGUCAGUUCAACCUAAAGCUAUUUUUAAUACAACAAAAUAUAGACUUAACUUUAGAGUAAAUCAGAUAGGUAACAGCCUACUUGAAACAGGAUACAGCCUCAAUUUAUGGGUAAUAUAAAUUACUAACAGUCAAGUAGGCCCAAAAGCAGCCAUCUAACAUAAAAGCGUCAAAGCUUAACUACUAAUUAAUAUAAAUUCCUUAAACAAAUUAAAACCCUACCCCGAUACUGAGUAAUUCUAUACCUUUAUAGAAAAUAUAAUGUUAAAACUAGUAACAAGAAGUUAACUUCUCUAAAAUGUAAGUGUAAGUCAGGGCGGACACCACACUGACAAUUAACAACCUUAAACCACAGUAAUAACCUUAUUCAAGAAAACCUUACUAUUACACUUGUUAACCUAACACAAGAACAUUAAAAGAAAGACUAAAAGAAAAAGAAGGAAUUCGGCAAAAACUGAUUCCGCCUGUUUACCAAAAACAUCACCUCUUGACUUAAAGAUAUAAGAGGCUCCGCCUGCCCAGUGACAUAUUUAACGGCCGCGGUAUCCUAACCGCGCGAAGGUAGCGUAAUCACCUGUUUUUUAAUUAAAGACCUGUAUGAAAGGCAUCACGAGAAUCAUACUGUCUCCUUUAUCCAGUCAGUGAAACUAAUCUUCCCGUGAAAAAGCGGGAAUCCUAAUACAAGACGAGAAGACCCUUUGGAGCUUAAGACACAAUUGGUAUACAACUUACUUAUUUUACCCAAUAUACACAUAUACUUGCAUAUUCCAAUGAGUCUUAGGUUGGGGCAACCACGGAGUAAAAACUAACCUCCACGCUGAACGGAAUUUUCCUAAACAAAAAGCCACAACUUUAUGUAUCAAAAAACUGACACUAUUAGACCCAAUAUUUUUUGAUUAACGAACCAAGUUACCCUAGGGAUAACAGCGCAAUCCACUUCAAGAGUUCAUAUCGACAAGUGGGCUUACGACCUCGAUGUUGGAUCAAGGUACCCUAGUGGUGCAGCCGCUACUAAAGGUUCGUUUGUUCAACGAUUAAAACCUCACGUGAUCUGAGUUCAGACCGGAGUAAUCCAGGUCAGUUUCUAUCUGUAACAAGCUUUUUCCAGUACGAAAGGACAGAAAUAGCAUGGCCAAUGUAAUAUAUAUGCCAUACCUAAUAACUUUUGACCCUUCUUAAAAAUUUAUUAAUUUAUCAACUCACUCAAGACAAGAGAA
This 1582-nucleotide ribosomal RNA is filed under the name Eleutherodactylus glaphycompus (Southwest Haiti robber frog). RNAcentral's name for it is "16S ribosomal RNA". It matches the Rfam family "Bacterial large subunit ribosomal RNA". Lineage: Eukaryota; Metazoa; Chordata; Amphibia; Anura; Eleutherodactylidae. The record is from RNAcentral.